This 554-nucleotide long non-coding RNA is filed under the name Pan troglodytes (chimpanzee). RNAcentral describes it as "long non-coding RNA NONPTRT005692". Lineage: Eukaryota; Metazoa; Chordata; Mammalia; Primates; Hominidae. The record is from RNAcentral.
AGACUCUUCCUCUUCUUAACAGAUUUAUCAGAAGCUGAAAGCUCUGAUCUUGUUGGGAUGCGGAUGUUGUCAGGAGAAGGCUUACUUUGCACGCUUUUCUUAGUCUGGUUGCCUAACUCAAGAACCUCGGCACGGCUCUGUUACUUCUCUACUCAGACAAGCAUCCCUGCAGACACUCACUAGGCUAACUCUGUCUUUAUUUUUAGAAUUAGACCUUUACGAGAAGCACAGUUUUGUCUUCAGUUUCCUCUCCCCCCACCCGGAAUGGCCUGAGCCGAAGCCAGCUCCCUCCGAGAAGUCAUUACCACCUGACUUGCGUUUGAUAUUUAGACACUUUGGUCACAACAUCUUGUGUUCUCUCGGGAUGCUGAUUUCUAACUGCUCUUUGGCCUUUCCUGCAUUGGUCCUCCUCAGGCAGGGGAUCCCUGCUCUUCUAUAUUAAUGCUGGCUCCCCAUCCCCUGUCCACCAUGAGUCAAAGCAAUGUGAGUCCCUCACCAGAUGCAACUGCCCAGUCUUGGACUUUCCAGCGACCAGAAUCAUGAGCCAAAUAAAC